ACGUGUCCCAGUGCAGGAUUCACCGACCUGGCUGAGAUCGUGUCUCGCAUUGAGCCAGCCAAGAGCUACGUGUCCGACAGCUACGCAGACGGAGAGGAAUCGGACUGCCUGACAGAGUACGAGGACGACGGGAUUGAUGCCGUGCAAGAGGAGGAGGGGCAGGAACUGCUGUUUGCCCCGGCCGAGCAGAACCCCGUCUUUGAAACGGACGAGGAGAAGAGCCUUCGACACCGCCGAGGGACCUCCGAAGAGUCUCCUGCUGCCCCUUGAGGGUCGUCCUUCCUGAGCCAAGAGAAACGGAGAGACUGUGACACGGAAAGCUGGCCCUCCCCUUACAGGCGGCCACAUGGGUGCGGGAGCAAGGAGCCCCUCACGGCCCACAGCAAGGAGCCCUUCGCUUCUGUCCAGCACAGCAUCCAGGCCUCAGGGCUCCAGCUGCUGCUGCUGCUGCUCCUGGCGUGUGCCGCAGGGGGCGCUCAGAGUGAACGUGGCGCUACCCGCCCACAGACGCCGCCGUGCCCGCUGGGGUGGGAUUCUGGGACCACCGUGCCCGCAGGGCUGGAGAUGUAACGAAGGGCUCCUUUUGCAGGACGGGCCGGUCGGCACCUCACGUUUCGCGUCAGAAGCGGGGUGGGGGGUGGGGGUGGGGGGAAGGCCCGGAGGGGGCUGGGGACUCGCCCGUGCGCGCAGGAAGCUGCCUUCUGCCAAGGUGCUCCCAGGGCCAGUCUUGUCUGCUCUGGCUGGCGGCAGCUCUCAGGAGGGGGGGGUCCUUCCCAUCACCCAGCCCCUCUUCACGGGGGAUACUCGGCCGCCUGGGACCCCCCCCCCCCCCCCGCAUGCACCCAGGAGAUGCUCCAACCCCCCCACGGGGGGGGGUCUCUUGCCGUCUCCCACCUACUCGCUGCCCUCGGUGUGGGCCGGGCAGGGCCUGGCACCCUGACUCGCCGGGGGUGGGGGUCUGAUCCAUUCCCUGACACAAAGUGAAGUGAAGCACACCAGGAUCUGUUGGUUUUUAGCAAGAUUUUGGGCCUUUCUGUUUGGGUUUUCUUUGCAUGCAGGCAUGCACGCGUUCUUCCCCUGUAAUUAUUCUGGCGAUGCUUUUGUGGGUCGAGGAAGACUGUAGCAAAGAUCUCAUAUCAUGCCGAGCAUAACUAGGCAUAUUUCUGGUAUGAAAUAAACAUCUCAAGCUGAUUGGAAAUGUUGACCAAUGAGGCCGAGAGACUGCAAGGUCCAGUUCGCAUAGUAAAAAAAUGAUGCAGACACACAUACACACACACACACCCGGAGGUCCCCUGAGCAGCUGUUCCCUGGCCCCGGCUGCUCUGACCUGGCAGGGGCUGUCACACGUGUCUUCAGGCUCUUUGACCCCGGCAGGCAGGCAGCCUGGCCCCGCUCCCAGACUUAGGGAUCUCCACAAAAAGGGGCCGGGACCGAGAGAAGACACAGGGGCCGGGGUUUCCCUGGCAGGCCUUUGAAGCUGGCCGUGUUCUGUGUGACCCCACACGGUGGUCCCCCCCUCCCUCUCGAUCGUCCGUGUGUGGUGGUGCAUAUGGGGAAUACCGGGCGGGGGGGGGGAGUCAGUCAAGGCUCCCGUUGCCAGUCCUCCCGAGGGGGAGCCCCAGAGACGUGUGCUGGUCCCCGUGGUGAGGAGGCGCUGGGUAGGAGGAGGCCGUGGGCCCUGUCUCUCCCUUCCCUUCUUCACCCCCUGCUGCAAGUGGGCAGGAAGUUUUCCCAAAGGUUUAGGGUCAAGGGAAGAAAAUACUAGUUUAUUUUUAUUUUAGUCAUCGUAGAGUUGAGGAAUACAGGUUAAUUUUAAGGAAGAACAAUUUCAUACAACAGUGACCAAAUAAAGUCAUCUGUUUUGUGCUUGAAGAGGCUUUCUUUUCCUCAAUUUUAGUGGCUAUUGAAUCGAUAGUAAAAAAAUGGCCUUUUGCUCUUUUUUUUUUAAAAAGGGGGCACGGUAAAAGCCACGAGACCGGGUUUCUUCCGUUUGUCAAGGGGGAACACAACGGCUGAGAAACAAAUGGAAAUACUUCUAUUAGAAUGUGUUUUAUGUUGUUGAAAAGGCACACUCUGUAUUUUGAUGGCGGUAUUUAAGCUCCAGUCUCUUUGCAUUUUAUCUGCAUUUUUCACAGCAAAGCGGUUUUUAACUAUCUGCUUCAAUACCCCGAGUAAAAAUCAGGAGCAACUGUUCCCCCCGGUCCAUAAAUUUGGGAGACUUUAACUUUUUUGUGUCGUUAAAAUCAUUGUAAACAGUGACUGUACAAUUAUUGUAUUACUACAAACUACUAAUUACAACCAAUCCCUUUUACGCAAUAGUUUAACUUCUGUGAACACUUAGAAACACGGUGUUAAUGGAGCGAUAGA
Gekko japonicus is the source of this 2367-nucleotide long non-coding RNA. RefSeq lists it as uncharacterized. NCBI's taxonomy places the organism in Eukaryota, Metazoa, Chordata, Lepidosauria, Squamata, Gekkonidae. The transcript is spliced from 3 exons. The record is from RefSeq and is a predicted model, not a curated record.